AUGUCAGAUGUAGAUAUGUGGGCCACAUAAGUAUUGCCGAUCUUGACCCACAUUUAAAAUCCAUUUCAAAUAUUUUUGACUAAAAUCCCAAUGUUUUCCCAUACAGAAAGGUAAUAUAUUCACAUAUAUGUGAAACACUGUUAAAUAUAUUGAAAUACAUUUUGAAAAUAUAUUUUUAAAAUGCAUAACAUAAAGCUCAUAUUGUGUGUUUAAUUGUGUUUGCAUGUGAAAUUAUAUUCAUGCCCCAUAUGAUAUUAUAUUAUAUGUUAUAUUAUAGAAUAGUAUAUCCUGUUGUUUUAUUUAGCCUAUAUAACUGACUUCAAACAAUGUUUUGCAUUCACUGCUUUCAUAUUCUCAUUCAAUUUACAGUUUGAUGUAGGCCUACUAAACAAUACAUGAUGAAAUUUCAGGACAUGUUAUUUGACUUUUGUACUAUUUAUGUAAAUGCGUAACUUUUAUGUGUUUUAGGCCAUGUUGGCCAAUCAGAAGCCUGACAAAGUUUCAAGUAGGCGGAGAUAACAGCGCAGGCUCCAACGUCACAAGCCAAAAACUCCGGUUUAGCUGUCUACAUGAUAACACUGCAGCCAGAGUUUUUUUAAAUCUUCACCCUGGCAGGAGUUUUCAAAAUGUUCGGUUUCAGUGACCUGCUGCAGUGUUUGCGUGAGGACGAACGGAACAAACCGCAUAGAAAAAGCUGCUGUUUUGAAAAUAACCGCGUUCGUGUGGACGGCCAAUGAGCGCGCGCGUUGAGCAUUCAAAUCACAUUUAAACUGAAGCGGUGGAGGUUACCAUGGUAACAGGGCGUCAACUCACUCAGCUGACAAGUAGCGAGAAGCUGUCUCUCUGCUCUUUUCACUGCUUUCAGGUAAGUUUAGUCCCUAAAGUUACACAAAUAAUACAUACAACUGUUCCUGACACUUUCUUACAUGUUACUGACACGUUUCUGUUGAAUCUUUACUUUACAGGAAUGGUAUAGUGUCUUCAAAAUGUCCGUUAGCAUCACAACCGUUAACUAUAGAGGCUAACAAUUAGAGGAGCGUCAGAAUAAAAUACCUAAAACAGGGGAAGUUACAAAAAAAUUUGUAAUGUGACCUGCUGACAGAGAUACAGGAAACACAGAGCUGGAGCGGAGCAGAUCUCCUGUCGAAGAACAUCUCCAAAGCACCAUGAACCAUCUGACUAGGCAGUUCGUGAAGACGGAUAACCUGGACAGAAGUCAGUUCAAGAUCCAGCCUCCACACUAGACUUCUCACUCACAAGGAUUGCUGUCUACUAGAUAUUAUGUGUACUCUUCAGACUUAGGUUCAUGCAGAUAUUAUUCAGGGACAUGAACACUUGAAUACUGCAAAAAUAGAGAAACUACCUUAUUUAAGAAUUUUGUGUUAAUUGUGUGAACAUUAAACAAAUAUAUAUUUAUUUUACUGUUUUUUUGUUUUGUAUUCCAAAGCACCUAAAAGCCAAUUCACACUGCCAUACUCCAACAGGGUGAACACACUGACCAAGCAAAACAAUUAAGCAUGUUUUUAUAGUUUUUGUGAAAGUGUGAACUGACAAUGCUGUAUGUUAGG
Molecule: long non-coding RNA, 1568 nt
Organism: Onychostoma macrolepis
Lineage: Eukaryota; Metazoa; Chordata; Actinopteri; Cypriniformes; Cyprinidae
Exons: 4
Source: RefSeq, a predicted model, not a curated record